RNAcentral lists this transfer RNA (45 nucleotides) under Artocarpus nitidus subsp. lingnanensis. RNAcentral describes it as "partial tRNA-His". Lineage: Eukaryota; Viridiplantae; Streptophyta; Magnoliopsida; Rosales; Moraceae. The record is from RNAcentral.
GCGGAGGGAGCCAAUCGGAUCAAGGGCGGGGAUUGUGAAUCCUCC